UGGAGUGAGACCCCAUCUCUAAAUAUUUUUUUUAAAAAAGAAUGUGGAGGAACUUGAGCUGAUAAGAUCCCCUGCAUCAGGCCCUAAGACACUGCCUUGCAGUGCUGCCGUUCCUCGCUGGCCUGGCUCCCGAGUCAAGACGAGGCUGCCUCACUAAUGAGAUACCAUGAUUUGUAUCACGCAAAGCCCACGGCUUACGGAGAGCACGUGAAGGCAGUGUCGGCGGCAGGGUGACCACAUCCUCUGGCAGGCAGCCUGGGAAGGGAGGUUUGAAUCUGUGUUAUUUUAGCACUGAUUAAAGGUGGAUGUACAAUUUUACCUUUUAAAUUUAAAGACAGUUUGUACUCUAUCAACACCUUGUCUUAUUAUAGUUGCAAACCAUGAGAAGGCAAGUUAAGAAGGAGACGUCGCAAAAGUAAUUAUACAAUUUCCUUACAUGGUAUAAAAUGGUACAAAUAGCAAGUCCCAUCAGCUUCACAGCCCUCGACUGACCAAAUGGCAUCCCCCAACCAAUGCUGCUGGCAGGAGCUUCAGCUGCCUCUGGCUUAAUGACGUCUGCCUUUCUAGUGAGAAUGUAGCUGGUGUGGAUAUCUCUGUUUCACAGUGAUGAUUUGGGCCGAGUGCUCAUGUCAAAUAGGCACCUGGUUCCAGUGGUUUGUGGGGUUUAACGAUGCAUUUUUAAAAUGAAGCCGUGCCAGCGCCAGCCCGUGCUUCCCCGCAGAACACUGCUGCUGUUCUGUCCUGGCUUGGAAGGUGCCCUGGUGUGGGAGCCGUCCUGGUGUGGGAGGUGCCCUGGGGUGGGAGCUGUCCUGGCGUGGGAGGUGCCCUGGGGUGGGAGGUGCCCUGGGGUGGGAGCUGUCCUGGCGCGGGAGGUGUCCUGGCAUGAGAGCUGCCCUGGCGUGGGAGCUGCCCUGGCAUGGGAGCUGCCCUGGCGUGGGAGCUGCCCUGGCGUGGGAGAUGCCCUGGUGUGGGAGGCGUGGCAGAGGUGCUGGGCCUGGGCCUCCUAUGCUCUGCACCAUACCCUUGGCUGCCUUGAGCAUGAGCACCCCAUGGGGAGAGUGAGCUCAGUGCCCGGCGGGCCCCACGGCAGUCACGUGCAUCAUGUCUUGGCUUUCUGCUUCCUGUUGAAGGAGUGACGGGGACAGCGAGGGAUGGAGUCCCCACACUCCAGCCUGCCCU
This is a long non-coding RNA of Sapajus apella (tufted capuchin), 1179 nucleotides long. RefSeq lists it as uncharacterized. The transcript is spliced from 3 exons. Lineage: Eukaryota; Metazoa; Chordata; Mammalia; Primates; Cebidae. The record is from RefSeq and is a predicted model, not a curated record.